GUGGGUGUAGUUCAAUUGGUUAGAGCACUGGAUUGUGGUUCCAGUUGUUGUGGGUUCAAGUCCCAUCACCCACCCCA
RNAcentral lists this transfer RNA (77 nucleotides) under Chitinivibrionales bacterium. Its description in RNAcentral is "tRNA-His". It matches the Rfam family "tRNA". Rfam says of the family: Transfer RNA (tRNA) molecules are approximately 80 nucleotides in length. The record is from RNAcentral. Lineage: Bacteria; Pseudomonadati; Fibrobacterota; Chitinivibrionia; Chitinivibrionales.